CGUACGAUAUCUAAUAAUUGCGGUCGCGGCAAUUAUUGAACUGAAUGCGGAAUAAUAUUAAUUUUUUUUUUUUUUUUUUUUUCUAUUAUUUAUUAUCGUUCAACUCAAUUUAUUAGUUUAAACACUUUCCGUCCCAUUAAUAUUGCAAAAAUAACGAACUCAUCAGACUGUCUAAAUUCGUGCUCAUUACGCGAGAAAGGUUAAACAUGUCG
Non-coding RNA from Cinara cedri, 212 nucleotides. The record is from the annotation of a GenBank genome assembly. NCBI's taxonomy places the organism in Eukaryota, Metazoa, Arthropoda, Insecta, Hemiptera, Aphididae.